UAGUCCACGCCCUAAACGAUGAAUGUUAGUCGUCGGGUAGCUAGUCUAUUCGGUGAUGCAGCUAACGCAUUAAGUAGACCGCCUGGGGAGUACGGCCGCAAGAUUAAAAUUCAAAGGAAUUGACGGGGGCCCGCACAAGCGGUGGAGCAUGUGGUUUAAUUCGAUGCAACGCGAAGAACCUUACCAACCCUUGACAUCCUGAUCGCGGUUACACGAGAGUGUUUCCUUCAGUUCGGCUGGAUCAGUGACAGGUGCUGCAUGGCUGUCGUCAGCUCGUGUCGUGAGAUGUUCGGUUAAGUCCGGCAACGAGCGCAACCCACAUCUCUAGUUGCCAGCAGUUCGGCUGGGCACUCUAUGGAAACUGCCCGUGAUAAGCGGGAGGAAGGUGUGGAUGACGUCAAGUCCUCAUGGCCCUUACGGGUUGGGCUACACACGUGCUACAAUGGCAGUGACAAUGGGUUAAUCCCCAAAACUGUCUCAGUUCGGAUUGGGU
RNAcentral lists this ribosomal RNA (493 nucleotides) under uncultured bacterium. Its description in RNAcentral is "bacterial SSU rRNA". It matches the Rfam family "Bacterial small subunit ribosomal RNA", at positions 791 to 1303 of the family's 1533-position model. The record is from RNAcentral.